Molecule: ribosomal RNA, 434 nt
Filed under: uncultured bacterium
Lineage: Bacteria
Description: partial 16S ribosomal RNA
Rfam family: Bacterial small subunit ribosomal RNA
Source: RNAcentral
ACGGGAGGCAGCAGUGGGGGAUAUUGCACAAUGGGGGAAACCCUGAUGCAGCGACGCCGCGUGAGUGAUGAAGUAUUUCGGUAUGUAAAGCUCUAUCAGCAGGGAAGAAAAUGACGGUACCUGACUAAGAAGCUCCGGCUAAAUACGUGCCAGCAGCCGCGGUAAUACGUAUGGCGCAAGCGUUAUCCGGAUUUACUGGGUGUAAAGGGAGCGUAGACGGCGUGGCAAGUCUGAUGUGAAAGCUAUGGGCUCAACCCAUAAACUGCAUUGGAAACUGUCAUGCUAGAGGGUCGGAGAGGUAAGCGGAAUUCCUAGUGUAGCGGUGAAAUGCGUAGAUAUUAGGAGGAACACCAGUGGCGAAGGCGGCUUACUGGACGAUAACUGACGUUGAGGCUCGAAAGCGUGGGGAGCAAACAGGAUUAGAUACCCUGGUA